Long non-coding RNA from Stomoxys calcitrans (stable fly), 543 nucleotides. RefSeq lists it as uncharacterized. The transcript is spliced from 3 exons. NCBI's taxonomy places the organism in Eukaryota, Metazoa, Arthropoda, Insecta, Diptera, Muscidae. The record is from RefSeq and is a predicted model, not a curated record.
CGCAUUUUUCAAGAAAGGUCGUGCACGGUGGCAAGAAAGAAAAUGAAAAAAAUAUGAAACAAAUUUACCAAGGUAAAUUUGAAUAUAAUUACAGAAAGAAAUUCCGAAUGGAAUAGGCCGAACAUACAGCGUGAAAAGUCCCGAAAUUUGGGUAGCAAUUUAAUAAAAAACAAUUGUUUUGUUUUACUGAUCUAUAUUUAACUUUGUUUAAAAUUGAAAUGUGAUCUACAAUUUAUGCAGCGAUGGAAUAUUUUAACGCAAAUGAUUUCUCAGAGGAUGUAUACUUCUAAUUACAGGCGGACACCGUUGAUGCAGUCUAUAAAAUACUGUGUAAAUGCCGAAAAGGAACUUCUGGGAAAAUAUGGUGCUUACUCCUAUGCGACUUAUUUGGCAAUUUUCCAAAGGCAUUAAAAACUAAAUUUGUAAACGUUUUUAUUUUAACAGUUAAUAUAUACGAAAUUUAUAUUCCCAACUUGUAUAUUGGAAAUAUGUUAAUAAAAUAGAACAAGCGAUUAAUAUGAGAAUAAAUAAUACACCUACAGA